Molecule: ribosomal RNA, 457 nt
Filed under: Vreelandella janggokensis
Lineage: Bacteria; Pseudomonadati; Pseudomonadota; Gammaproteobacteria; Oceanospirillales; Halomonadaceae
Description: bacterial SSU rRNA
Rfam family: Bacterial small subunit ribosomal RNA
Source: RNAcentral
UGGCUCAGAUUGAACGCUGGCGGCAGGCCUAACACAUGCAAGUCGAGCGGUAACAGGUCCAGCUUGCUGGAUGCUGACGAGCGGCGGACGGGUGAGUAACGCAUAGGAAUCUACCCGGUAGUGGGGGAUAACCUGGGGAAACCCAGGCUAAUACCGCAUACGUCCUACGGGAGAAAGGGGGCUUCGGCUCCCGCUAUUGGAUGAGCCUAUGCCGGAUUAGCUGGUUGGUGAGGUAAUGGCUCACCAAGGCGACGAUCCGUAGCUGGUCUGAGAGGAUGAUCAGCCACAUCGGGACUGAGACACGGCCCGAACUCCUACGGGAGGCAGCAGUGGGGAAUAUUGGACAAUGGGGGCAACCCUGAUCCAGCCAUGCCGCGUGUGUGAAGAAGGCCCUCGGGUUGUAAAGCACUUUCAGCGAGGAAGAACGCCUGUCGGUUAAUACCCGGCAGGAAAGACA